Long non-coding RNA from Triplophysa rosa, 3345 nucleotides. RefSeq lists it as uncharacterized. The record is from RefSeq and is a predicted model, not a curated record. The transcript has 3 exons. NCBI's taxonomy places the organism in Eukaryota, Metazoa, Chordata, Actinopteri, Cypriniformes, Nemacheilidae.
UUGAUAAAACGGCCUUCCAUAUUUUAAACUACGUGUUAACACGCAAUUACGCGUUAACACGUAUUUACGUGUUAACGCGUAGUACGUGUUAACACGUUAGUUUCACACGUUUUGGCCCUCUCGGCCUUCCAUAGUUGUAGCAUGCAGCAAUUUUACGAAGAUCAUCGGACAAAGUUUUACUCUGUUUUGACCACGUUGUCUGCUAUUAUAUCGAUUUUGGUUUUGGGUGCGUCAAUCUGGUAAGUAAUCUGUUACUUUACUGUUUUUACUGUUGUUGUACAAUUAUCUGCAUUAAGUAAACUUGGUGUCUUGAAAGUGGAUAUGGGUUUUAUGCCUUUACAAGUAAAUGUGAUGUGCAUCUCAAACUAGUAAACUAGUAAUAAUUUAAUUAGGGAGGGCAUGACAUAAUCGUUGUUAAACAUAGUCACACAGUUGGGGUUCCCGUUUUUUUGCAUGACACAAAAAACUAAAGUUUGUGGUGACGCGUACAUUUGAUCAAGUAACGUUAUGGCGCGAAUGACAAGGCAACAAACAUAUGCAUAACACGUGCGAGAGAAAAAUUGGAGGCCGUUAGCCACUCUCGUCAAUCAUGCUGCAGUUCACACACGCUCUCAUGUGUGGUUUCAGUUGUCCCUAUAUUUUUUUCGUAAAUUUAGAUCAUUUGAAACGAAUUUGUCGGCUUGGCGCGUUUACCUGAGUGUCAAUGUUAAAACAAAGAUUAAAACGAGCUGUUUUUAUUACGUUAUUUUACCCUUUAAAUUAUAGGCUUGUUUUAAUAUUUUUUACGGAGUUUGUUAACGUUACUUGAACUUUUAUUGUACCACAGGGAUAAAUGCAUUAAGUACCGUUUUAGUUUGGCAAUGUCCAUGCAGAAGUGCUUGUGUUAUUAAGAUGAGACAUUUCUGUGCUGUUUUUUAGCUUUUAACAUUUUAAUUAGCUGACUGUACACUUUUUUUUGUGAACAUUGCAAACUAACUAACUUUUGAAUCUUACUUUUUUAGUUUAAAGCUGAAGCAGUUGGCCAACAAACAGAGUUUUAAGUGCGGUAUGUUGAAAAACUAUUAACAACAAUGGACACAUUGCAAUAUAGUGACUAAAAUGUGAAUGAGAAUAGUGUACUGUUAACCAUUUAAGCAAAAAUCUAGUGGCUUGGAGGUGCAAACUUUGUGCUGCUACCUUUGAUAAAAGGGCACAUGUACUGGAACAUUAUCGUUUACAUCAUAGCAGUGUUUCCUCAGUCAGUCUAUUACCAUGUGUCUAUGAUGACUGUGUCGUCACAUUUCAGACUGUAAAUGCAUUAAAAAUACACUUAUCACGAAUACAUACUCAGAUGGAGCAUGAUGUGAAUCCAAUGGAAAGUGUUUCUUUCAUCUGUCUUAAAUGUGGAUUCAAGCAGCCAUUUAAUGGGAAAACUAUUCUCAGUCAUUUAAGGGCACAUUUAAAACAACAUGAGAUGGUGGAUUGUCCAUUGAAAAACUGUUGCUAUCGCAGUAAUGUGUAUACCUCUUUCAAUGCCCACAAAAGUAGGGAUCAUCCAGAUGCUGAUGCUCACGUGUAUAUGUAUAAUGAUAUUAUCUUAACAGAAACUGACAGCCCCACAAUGCGGGGUCAAGUUGAAGCUGCUGACUCUCCUCAGAAUCCUCCUGAGCUGUGUCAAAUGUUCAUAGUCUAAAAUGUUUCCUUUUGUAAAUGUUGUUUUUGGAGAUUGGGCCACAUAUACACCGUUUUAAAUGCACCUUUUUUACAGAUCUGUGGUGAGUUUCAUAGAGUGACAAAUGUCAACCUAAAGAAUUGUUUCUUUGCUCAACUGGACCAAAAUAGGACCCCCGGCUUCAGAGCCUUUAUCGGAAAAUGCUUCUCGGACAGGAAAAGCACCUGAAGUCCUGGAUCAGCUCUUCAGGAUUUAUGACCUCCAGGAUCAAGUUGAUGUCCAUGUUAGAUGUGCUGCUGUACUCCGGGCUCUCCCUCCGUAUAUGCAUGAGAGUGAUGUCAGCUUUUUCAAGAUGUGGGACGUAAUGCUGUCUGAUGAACCGGACAUCAUUGAUGUACCACUUGGGCUCCUCCUUAUCAAUCAAACUUCAUCAGAUGCCAAUUUUUUCUGCACAGAGAGGAUUGCAGUUGUGCUAGAGGGUAACAUUGUUAUUGAGUCCUCCACACUGGCUGAUGCAUUUGUCAUUCUCUUUGCGCUUACGUACACCCUGCACCUUAACUAUCCAAAAACGUUGCUCAACACAUUCGACUUCAUCCAAAAGGUGUUGAUGGGUCUUGAGGAUGGAAAGUUGAGGCCUAGAGUUUUGAGUAAGUACAUUUGUUUUUCUUGCUGUAAAACAUCUAUCAGAUGGGUUUUACAGGUAUUGUUUCUGAAGUUUUAAUGUGUUCGAGUUAAAGUUGAAUGAUGUCCUGUUUUGCACAUUUUUAUACCCGUGUAAUAUGUUUAUAUGUCUAAUACAUAUAUUGGCAUUGACAAAUAUCCUAAAUGUGAUCUACGGUAUGACAGCAGAAAUUUAGAAUUAAAAAAAAAAAAAAAAGUUUAAUCUCUAAUGGUAUUUGUAACUCUUAACAGUAAAGAUAACUCUUUCUCUAUUUCUAAAUCUUUGCAAUGUCACACCAUAGGACACAUUUACACAUGUCAAUUACCCGUGUGUAUUAUAUAUGUUUUUCAGAAAGUGUAGGUGGAAUGGUGUGCUUGCAUUAGGCAUUUGCACAUUGCCCUAUCUUUGUUUAAAAAUUUAAUGAUGUUAAGUUGAGGGAUGCCAUGUUUGCACAUGGAACAGGUCGAUGUGAGAGUUGUUAGGGUUAAAUGCAAGUUAAAUGAUGGCUUUCUUGUAGUAGACAAUUGCACAUUGCAAUACUUUUGCCUUUUUUUGUAUAUUAAACCUCUUACAGAAUUGUUGUUCAUAUUGUAGUAGUUGUAAUGCUAAAUGCUCGUUGAAGGACUGAAUGUUCGCAUGGGAUACUUGUACAUUGAUGUGGCUGAGAGAUUCUGCAUCUGUUUACAUUGCAGUACACACAUUUCUGCUUUAUUUUGUGUACAUAACAAAACACUUAUAGAUAAGAUAAGCUUUGUAUUAUACUUAUUACAAUAUUUGUAAUAUGUGUUACACUUAAUACAUCUGUAUUUUAUGUAAUUAUCAAAAUGUAACCGUUCUUAAAUACAUGUUACAGUUAAAUGUUGUUUUAAAUAAUUGUUUUAGAAAACUUUUAAAAUAGUGAUCCUGAUGUUGAAUGAUGUCACAUGGCACAUUCAUGUGUCGAAGUAUUUUACUUUGUAUUUGUUUAUAUUGAAAUUAUAUGAGAUAUUACAAAUUUUUCUGGAACUUCAUAUUUGGUUAAUAAACAAGUUAU